CCUACGGGGGGCAGCAGUGGGGGAUAUUGCACAAUGGGGGGAACCCUGAUGCAGCGACGCCGCGUGGGUGAAGAAGCGCCUCGGCGCGUAAAGCCCUGUCAGCAGGGAAGAAAAUGACGGUACCUGAAGAAGAAGCCCCGGCUAACUACGUGCCAGCAGCCGCGGUAAGACGUAGGGGGCAAGCGUUAUCCGGAUUUACUGGGGGUAAAGGGGGCGCAGACGGCGAUGCAAGCCAGGAGGGAAAGCCCGGGGACCAACCCCGGGACUGCUCUUGGAACUGCGUGGCUGGAGUGCAGGAGGGGCAGGCGGAAGUCCUGGUGUAGCGGUGAAAUGCGUAGAUAUCAGGAGGAACACCGGUGGCGAAGGCGGCCUGCUGGACUGCAACUGACGUUGAGGCCCGAAAGCGUGGGGAGCAAACAGGAUUAGAUACCCCGGUAGUC
RNAcentral lists this ribosomal RNA (440 nucleotides) under uncultured bacterium. RNAcentral describes it as "partial 16S ribosomal RNA". It matches the Rfam family "Bacterial small subunit ribosomal RNA", at positions 338 to 795 of the family's 1533-position model. The record is from RNAcentral.